Molecule: long non-coding RNA, 218 nt
Filed under: Lathyrus oleraceus (garden pea)
Lineage: Eukaryota; Viridiplantae; Streptophyta; Magnoliopsida; Fabales; Fabaceae
Description: Pisum sativum (pea) long non-coding RNA (PSAT_LNC018275)
Source: RNAcentral
UGAGCUAUCACUUGCUUCUGUCUUUCAACUUGUCUGCACACUCCUGCCCUUCUGUGGCACCACUCUUUGUAGGUAGUGUCUAGCUCUUCAAAGGUUCUUUCAUCAUCAAUUGACUCUUCCUCAGACCCCCAUCUUCCUGUCAAAGCAUUCACAUGAUUUGUGGCUUCUUCAGUUUCACUUCCAUCAGACCAAGAGGCUACAAGACUCCUCUUUUGUUU